RNAcentral lists this small RNA (1887 nucleotides) under Pan troglodytes (chimpanzee). Its description in RNAcentral is "processed transcript". The record is from RNAcentral. Lineage: Eukaryota; Metazoa; Chordata; Mammalia; Primates; Hominidae.
CAGUCAAUGGCGCAGAGAGCGCGGACCAUGGCACUCUACAACCCCAUCCCCGUCCGACAGAACUGCCUCACGGUUAACCGGUCUCUCUUCCUCUUCAGCGAAGACAACGUGGUGAGAAAAUACGCCAAAAAGAUCACCGAAUGGCCUCCCUUUGAAUAUAUGAUUUUAGCCACCAUCAUAGCGAAUUGCAUCGUCCUCGCACUGGAGCAGCAUCUGCCUGAUGAUGACAAGACCCCGAUGUCUGAACGGCUGGAUGACACAGAACCAUACUUCAUUGGAAUUUUUUGUUUCGAGGCUGGAAUUAAAAUCAUUGCCCUUGGGUUUGCCUUCCACAAAGGCUCCUACUUGAGGAAUGGCUGGAAUGUCAUGGACUUUGUGGUGGUGCUAACGGGCAUCUUGGCGACAGUUGGGACGGAGUUUGACCUACGGACGCUGAGGGCAGUUCGAGUGCUGCGGCCGCUCAAGCUGGUGUCUGGAAUCCCAAGUUUACAAGUCGUCCUGAAGUCGAUCAUGAAGGCGAUGAUCCCUUUGCUGCAGAUCGGCCUCCUCCUAUUUUUUGCAAUCCUUAUUUUUGCAAUCAUAGGGUUAGAAUUUUAUAUGGGAAAAUUUCAUACCACCUGCUUUGAAGAGGGGACAGAUGACAUUCAGGGUGAGUCUCCGGCUCCAUGUGGGACAGAAGAGCCCGCCCGCACCUGCCCCAAUGGGACCAAAUGUCAGCCCUACUGGGAAGGGCCCAACAACGGGAUCACUCAGUUCGACAACAUCCUGUUUGCAGUGCUGACUGUUUUCCAGUGCAUAACCAUGGAAGGGUGGACUGAUCUCCUCUACAAUAGCAACGAUGCCUCAGGGAACACUUGGAACUGGUUGUACUUCAUCCCCCUCAUCAUCAUCGGCUCCUUUUUUAUGCUGAACCUUGUGCUGGGUGUGCUGUCAGGGGAGUUUGCCAAAGAAAGGGAACGGGUGGAGAACCGGCGGGCUUUUCUGAAGCUGAGGCGGCAACAACAGAUUGAACGUGAGCUCAAUGGGUACAUGGAGUGGAUCUCAAAAGCAGAAGAGGUGAUCCUCGCCGAGGAUGACACUGACGGGGAGCAGAGGCAUCCCUUUGAUGGAGCUCUGCGGAGAACCACCAUAAAGAAAAGCAAGACAGAUUUGCUCAACCCCGAAGAGGCUGAGGAUCAGCUGGCUGAUAUAGCCUCUGUGGGUUCUCCCUUCGCCCGAGCCAGCAUUAAAAGUGCCAAGCUGGAGAACUCGACCUUUUUUCACAAAAAGGAGAGGAGGAUGCGUUUCUACAUCCGCCGCAUGGUCAAAACUCAGGCCUUCUACUGGACUGUACUCAGUUUGGUAGCUCUCAACACGCUGUGUGUUGCUAUUGUUCACUACAACCAGCCCGAGUGGCUCUCCGACUUCCUUUACUAUGCAGAAUUCAUUUUCUUAGGACUCUUUAUGUCCGAAAUGUUUAUAAAAAUGUACGGGCUUGGGACGCGGCCUUACUUCCACUCUUCCUUCAACUGCUUUGACUGUGGGGUUAUCAUUGGGAGCAUCUUCGAGGUCAUCUGGGCUGUCAUAAAACCUGGCACAUCCUUUGGAAUCAGCGUGUUACGAGCCCUCAGGUUAUUGCGUAUUUUCAAAGUCACAAAGUACUGGGCAUCUCUCAGAAACCUGGUCGUCUCUCUCCUCAACUCCAUGAAGUCCAUCAUCAGCCUGUUGUUUCUCCUUUUCCUGUUCAUUGUCGUCUUCGCCCUUUUGGGAAUGCAACUCUUCGGCGGCCAGUUUAAUUUCGAUGAAGGGACUCCUCCCACCAACUUCGAUACUUUUCCAGCAGCAAUAAUGACGGUGUUUCAGGGACUGGCUAGUGCUGGACGGGGCAGUCCCUCCAGAGUCAGCAAG